GAUGAACGCUGGCGGCGUGCUUAAUACAUGCAAGUCGAACGGAAAGGCCCUGCGCUUGCGGGGUGCUCGUGAGGCGAACGGGGGAGUAACACGCGAGUAACCCGCCCCUGACAGUGGGAUAACUCUAGGAAACUGGGGCUAAUACAGGAGAUGAGCUCUUGCUGCACGGGGGGGGUUGGAAAGAUUCGGCGGUGGGGGCUGGACUCGCGGCUUAUCAGCUUGUUGGGGGGGUAGUGGCUUACAAAGUCUUUGACGGCUAGCCGGCCUGGGAGAGUGACCGGCCUCCUUGCGCCUGCGAUACGGCCCAGUCUCCUACGUGACGCAGCAGUGGAGAGUAUUGCGCAGUGGGCGGAAGCCUGAUGCGGCAACGCCGCGUGCGGGAUGCCGGCCUACGGGUUGUAAACCGCUUUCGAAUGUGCCGAGGCCUGAUUGACGGUAAUGGGUAAGGAAGCCCCGGCUAACUACGUG
RNAcentral lists this ribosomal RNA (468 nucleotides) under uncultured bacterium. Its description in RNAcentral is "partial 16S ribosomal RNA". It matches the Rfam family "Bacterial small subunit ribosomal RNA", at positions 28 to 507 of the family's 1533-position model. The record is from RNAcentral.